GUCGGUCCGCACGGGAGCCUGGAGAACACCGGGCUGAGAGGGAGCGUGGUUCGCUCCGACCGUCGAACCUGAUCCGGGUCAUGCCGGCGCAGGGAGCGUGAAUGCCUUGAGU
Molecule: regulatory RNA element, 112 nt
Organism: Lentzea albidocapillata
Lineage: Bacteria; Bacillati; Actinomycetota; Actinomycetes; Pseudonocardiales; Pseudonocardiaceae
Rfam family: TPP riboswitch aptamer (THI element)
About the family: Vitamin B(1) in its active form thiamin pyrophosphate (TPP) is an essential coenzyme that is synthesised by coupling of pyrimidine and thiazole moieties in bacteria. The previously detected thiamin-regulatory element, thi box was extended, resulting in a new, highly conserved RNA secondary structure, the THI element, which is widely distributed in eubacteria and also occurs in some archaea.
Source: Rfam